UACGGAGGGUGCAAACGUUGCUCGGAAUCAUUGGGCGUAAAGCGCGUGUAGGCGGUCCGGUAAGUCCGCUGUGAAAGUCGGGGGCUCAACCCUCGGAUGCCGGUGGAUACUGUCGGGCUUGAGUACGGAAGAGGCGAGUGGAAUUCCUGGUGUAGCGGUGAAAUGCGUAGAUAUCAGGAGGAACACCUGUGGCGAAAGCGGCUCACUGGACCACAACUGACGCUGAGGCGCGAAAGCUAGGGGAGCAAACAGG
RNAcentral lists this ribosomal RNA (253 nucleotides) under uncultured bacterium. RNAcentral's name for it is "partial 16S ribosomal RNA". It matches the Rfam family "Bacterial small subunit ribosomal RNA", at positions 524 to 776 of the family's 1533-position model. The record is from RNAcentral.